UACGUAGGGUGCGAGCGUUAAUCGGAAUUACUGGGCGUAAAGCGCGUGUAGGCGGUCUCGCAAGUCGGAUGUGAAAGCCCAGGGCUCAACCCUGGAAGUGCACUCGAUACUGCGAGGCUAGAGUCCCGGAGAGGAUGGUGGAACUCUCGGUGUAGAGGUGAAAUUCGUAGAUAUCGAGAAGAACACCGGUGGCGAAGGCGGCCAUCUGGACGGUGACUGACGCUGAGACGCGGAAAGCGUGGGGAGCAAACAGG
RNAcentral lists this ribosomal RNA (254 nucleotides) under uncultured bacterium. Its description in RNAcentral is "partial 16S ribosomal RNA". It matches the Rfam family "Bacterial small subunit ribosomal RNA", at positions 524 to 776 of the family's 1533-position model. The record is from RNAcentral.